Equus caballus (horse) is the source of this 1557-nucleotide long non-coding RNA. The record is from Ensembl. NCBI's taxonomy places the organism in Eukaryota, Metazoa, Chordata, Mammalia, Perissodactyla, Equidae.
GGAAAAUAAAAUAACAUUGAGUUAUCUCUUAAAAUCUUCAUUAAUUUAUUGAACAAAUAUUUAUUGGGUACGUAUCAUGCAUCUGGUAUUGAAACAGUCAAAACCCACACUUUUAUGGAGCUUAUAUUCUUGUGAUGACAGAUAUCAAGAGUACCCCAAAACAAAAACCUAAAACAAAUAUAUAAUACACUGUCAGACAUAACAACAAGACAAGAUGGUAACAGGUCUCAGAAGAAGACUCACUGAGGUCAUGUUUAAGCAGAGAUCUAAAUGAAGAGGGGGAGUAAGCAACAGACAUACUGGUGGGUAGACCUUUCCAUGUCAGAAAGAGUGCAAGGAUAUAUUUGAGGACCACGAUGCAAGGCAGUGCCUCCAAAGCAGUGCAAGGGAAGAUAAUGCUAGGUGGUCCGGGUCAUGAAGAUCGUCUCUGGCCUUUGGAUUUAUUCUGUAAUUGGGGUGGUGGGGAGUCAAGGAUCAGCGGAAGAUUUUGUGUAGAAGAGUGCCGUGAUGAGAGUUGAAUUGUAAAAGAAUCCCUUUGGCUGCUGUUAGGAGCCACAGGAAGUACUGAAGAAGGGAGGGAAGUGUUGAACAUGCUGGUGGUUUGUGCUGAGGAGGUACUGAUGUACAUGGAGAGAGGAUGCAGUAUAUAUAUCCGCUAUCAGCAAAGUGUUAAUACAUAGAGUAUUUGGAUGAAAUGUUUGUAUGUCUCCUGAAGGAUAUAUCUGGAAAACAUAAAUUAAAUUAAAGUGAGAAAGCUUAGAGGCAACUUUAAUAAAAUCUUUAAAGUGAGCUAUAGGAGUUCUUAAAAUGUAUCAAUUUAGUGGCUUCAGAUUAUUUAUUUUGUUUCAUAAAGUACAAUAGGUCACCUCUUCAGGUAUGAAAAGCAAUUUUUUAAUUUAAAAUAUAUUUCAAUGAUACAUUUCCAAUAUAGCAUUUGCUUUAAAUUAUUAUCUACUCUCAGUUAAUAAGAGAGCUUUCGCUACUUUACAAAGAUCUUUCUAAAAAAAAAAAGAAGAGUUCUGAAGAUAUUGAGUUUCUGAUUCUAUGAACCCUGGAAAUAUUGGUCUAGUUCCAGAACAAAUUCAUGUCAUUAAGUGUAUGGUGAACUCUUUCUUUUUAGCUAAAAAAUUAUCCCCAGAAGAUGUUUUCAUAGAGCUACUCUUUUUAGAGUAAUAAAAUCACCAGGUGUCUUUCUUUUUGCAAACUGGUGUUUCUCCACCACAUCAUUGCUUCAGAUACCCCUGGCGUUGCAUUCCAGUUUGAAACGAACAUUGGAGGAGUCCACAGUAGUUGGUAUUCCACGUCUGGCGGGAGAAUCAUCAUCCAGGCUCCGUGGAUUUGAGGUUGACUUCAUUCUUAUUAAAUUGUAAAAAUUAGAUGAAGAAUAGUUUGAAUUUGCCAGAAUUUCCUAAAUCAUGCCUCACUGAGUACCACUGUUCAAUAUGAUGUUAGACAUUUCAAAGGGGAGGAAACUAUUACUAUCAAAUAAAUUUGGGGAAGUGGGUUAAAAAAUUGACUAGUUUGUUGAUGUCUUUUUUAUUUGAUUUUAUUGCAGAG